This 320-nucleotide ribosomal RNA is filed under the name uncultured eukaryote. Its description in RNAcentral is "partial 18S ribosomal RNA". It matches the Rfam family "Eukaryotic small subunit ribosomal RNA", at positions 1470 to 1796 of the family's 1831-position model. The record is from RNAcentral.
CCCCUAGAUGUUCUGGGCCGCACGCGCGCUACACUGAACAGUUCAACAAGUCUUAACCUUGGCCGAUAGGUCUGGGUAAUCUUUGAACGCUGUUCGUGAUUGGGAUAGACCUUUGCAAUGAUGGGUCUUCAACGAGGAAUUCCUAGUAAACGCAAGUCAUCAGCUUGCAUUGAUUACGUCCCUGCCCUUUGUACACACCGCCCGUCGCACCUACCGAUUGAAUGGUCCGGUGAAAUCUCGGGACGGCGGCUUGGUCGCUUGCGUCCGACUGCUGAAACUUGAUUAAACCAUAUCAUUUAGAGGAAGGUGAAGUCGUAACA